GGGAAUGGUCCAACAAUGUCCAUUCUCCAUUAAGCGAAUGGCCAAGGAGAAACAAUGUUAUGUAGUUCGGAGGCUAGAGCAUGGAAAACAUUCCCAUGUUUUUGGCAUGCCAAACAUUUUUGGGAAAAGGCCAAGCAGUCCUUUUCUAACGUUGUCCAGAAAUAUCUCGCUCGGAGGAUCCUGGCCCUAAGUGCUCGUCCACCCGUAUGUCUACCAUAUAUACCCUCAUGUAACUCCUUCAUUACAUACUCAGCUUCCUCACCAUCUAGACAUUUUAACAACGGAGUGGUGUAACCCCGUCUGUAAAGAUCGUCACCUACCAAACAAUAUCUAGCCACUUUCUUCACGUCCUCAAGCCGAAGACUCCCUCCUUCGUCCUGCUCCUUAAUGAACUGGAUUAUCUCUUCUUUCC
RNAcentral lists this long non-coding RNA (412 nucleotides) under Vigna radiata. RNAcentral describes it as "long non-coding RNA (VRAD_LNC009024)". The record is from RNAcentral. Lineage: Eukaryota; Viridiplantae; Streptophyta; Magnoliopsida; Fabales; Fabaceae.